Molecule: ribosomal RNA, 392 nt
Filed under: uncultured bacterium
Lineage: Bacteria
Description: partial 16S ribosomal RNA
Rfam family: Bacterial small subunit ribosomal RNA
Source: RNAcentral
AUACGGAGAAUCCGAGCGUUAUCCGGAUUUAUUGGGUUUAAAGGGUGCGCAGGCGGCCAUUUAAGUCAGCGGUUAAAUCGUGGGGCUCAACCCCAUUCUGCCGUUGAUACUGGGUGGCUUGAUUGCGGUCGAGGUUGGCGGAAUUCGUUGUGUAGCGGUGAAAUGCAUAGAUAUGACGAAGAACACCGAUUGCGUAGGCAGCUGACCAGACCGCAAAUGACGCUCAUGCACGAAAGUGCGGGGAUCGAACAGGAUUAGAUACCCUGGUAGUCCGCACAGUAAACGAUGAAUACUUGUUUUCGGCGAUAUAAUGUCGGAGGCAAAGCGAAAGCGAUAAGUAUUCCACCUGGGGAGUACGCCGGCAACGGUGAAACUCAAAUGAAUUGACGGGG